RNAcentral lists this ribosomal RNA (1244 nucleotides) under metagenome. Its description in RNAcentral is "bacterial LSU rRNA". It matches the Rfam family "Bacterial large subunit ribosomal RNA", at positions 1564 to 2817 of the family's 2925-position model. The record is from RNAcentral.
UGAAUACGAGAUGCUACGGCGUCGAAGCAGUGUAUGUCAGACUUCCAAGAAAAGCUCGCAAUGUCAUAAAUAAAGAAUGCCUGUACCAUAACCGACACAGGUGGGUAGGUAGAGUAUACUAAGGGGCGCGAGAUAACUCUCUCUAAGGAACUCGGCAAAAUAACUCCGUAACUUCGGGAGAAGGAGUGCCUUCUAUUAGAAGGUUGCAAUAACAAGAUCCAAGCAACUGUUUAUCAAAAACACAGGUCUCCGCUAAGUCGUAAGACGAUGUAUGGGGGCUGACGCCUGCCCAGUGCCAGAAGGUUAAAGAAGUUGGUUAGCUUUGGCGAAGCUGAUGACUGAAGCCCUGGUGAACGGCGGCCGUAACUAUAACGGUCCUAAGGUAGCGAAAUUCCUUGUCGGGUAAGUUCCGACCCGCACGAAAGGCGUAAUGAUUUGGAUACUGUCUCGGAGAGGGACUCGGUGAAAUAGACUUGUCUGUGAAGAUGCGGACUACCUGCACCAGGACAGAAAGACCCUAUGAAGCUUUACUGUAACUUGAAAUUGAAAUUGGACUUUAUUUGCGCAGCAUAGGUGGAAGGCGUUGAGAUUACUCUUGCGGGAGUACUGGAGCCAUCAGUGAGAUACCACUCCUAUAAUGUUAGAUUUCUAACUUUGGAUCAUGAUCUGGUCAAAGAACAGUUUCAGGCGGGCAGUUUGACUGGGGCGGUCGCCUCCCAAAUGGUAACGGAGGCGUACAAAGGUUUCCUCUGAACGGGUAGAAAUCGUAUCUAGAGUGUAAAGGCAUAAGGAAGCUUGACUGUGAGACCUACAAGUCGAGCAGGGACGAAAGUCGGUCUUAGUGAUCUGACGGUGCUGAGUGGAAAGGCCGUCACUCAACGGAUAAAAGUUACUCUAGGAUAACAGGCUGAUCUCCCCCAAGAGUUCACAUCGACGGGGAGGUUUGGCACCUCGAUGUCGGCUCAUCGCAUCCCGGGGCGGUAGUACGUCCCAAGGGUUGGGCUGUUCGCCCAUGAAAGCGGUACGCGAGCUGGGUUCAGAACGUCGUGAGACAGUUCGGUCCAUAUCCGGUGUAGGCGUUAGAAUAUUGAGAGGAGCCUUCUUUAGUACGAGAGGACCGAGAAGGACAUACCUCUGGUGUACCAGUUAUCGUGCCAACGGUAAACGCUGGGUAGCUAUGUAUGGAGAGGAUAACCGCUGAAAGCAUCUAAGUGGGAAGCCCACCUCAAGAUGAGUAUUCUCAC